ACCGCCGCGGGUCAAAGUGCAGUAUCUGUUCUUGUCAGCUUGAUGUCUGAUACAGGUUGUAUUUGGAACUAAGAUAAUAAGCAUAAUUGUGCAAGUUCGCUGAGUUCUUAAAGCCUGGUCGCCGCCGCUGGUCAUCUUAAAACCUCCCCCACUAGUUAGCGUGGUACUGCACUAUUUUCGCGAUUGGACCACUUUGU
Dermacentor albipictus is the source of this 197-nucleotide small nuclear RNA. RefSeq annotates it as U2 spliceosomal RNA. The record is from RefSeq and is a predicted model, not a curated record. Lineage: Eukaryota; Metazoa; Arthropoda; Arachnida; Ixodida; Ixodidae.